GAAUAAGUCUGAUCUGGGUCUGUACCGCUGUGAACUGUUUAACGGGACCAACUGCAGAAUCGCUUAUCAGGAGAUAUAUCUGAGUAAGACGUCUGCAGGACAUACUGCUGCUGUAGGUUUAUCAACAGUGCUGAUCACAGCAGCAGCAGCUCUAGGAGGAGGAAUUGUGCUGAUUAGUCUGCUGAUUAUCACUUGGUUCUGCUCAAAACGUAUCAAAAAUACUCGUGAGGAGAUUGCCUGCAAUAAUUUACAUAAUAACAACCCAGAUCACACUUCAGACCUAUACACACUUCAAAAUCCAAUAUAUGAAACAAACAGCCGUGCAGAAAAAGAGGAAGGAAAUUCUUCUAAUACUACAGUCUACGCCAUCGUCAAUAAAGACAGAAGAGCAGUUUACUGAACUGGGAGGAAACAGAUCCAGCCGGGUUCUAUAAAACAAGUUCUGACUGAGAUGUAUUUUUGUUAGCAUCAAUUAAACAUUUAAAGGUAUCUAUAAAUAGAAGGCAUGCAAUUAAUAUUUGCCAAGGAAAUGAUGUGCCUUUUGGUUUUGUCUGCGGGGAUGUUAAAAAGUUAAUUUUUUUUUUUUUAUUGUGGUGUUGUAAUUGCUUUUUCUUUCAAAAGUAAGACUAUUUUGUUUAUGCAAAAAAGUGAAAAUUUUGAAUUAAUGAAAUCCUGGCAAAUACUGUACUUAAAUACUGUACUGGACUAAUUUAUUUAUUUAUUUAUUAAAGUCAUAUUGUGCUUCGUUAAUGUGUGUCUCCU
RNAcentral lists this long non-coding RNA (762 nucleotides) under Astyanax mexicanus (Mexican tetra). RNAcentral describes it as "lncRNA (ENSAMXG00005005854.1)". The record is from RNAcentral. Lineage: Eukaryota; Metazoa; Chordata; Actinopteri; Characiformes; Acestrorhamphidae.